CCUACGGGUGGCAGCAGUAGGGAAUCUUCCACAAUGGGCGAAAGCCUGAUGGAGCAACGCCGCGUGGGUGAAGAAGGUCUUCGGAUCGUAAAACCCUGUUGUUAGAGAAGAAAGUGCGUGAGAGUAACUGUUCACGUUUCGACGGUAUCUAACCAGAAAGCCACGGCUAACUACGUGCCGGCAGCCGCGGUCAUACGUAGGAUCCGAGCAUUAUCCGGAGUGACUGGGUGUAAAGAGUUGCGUAGGUGGCAUAAUAAGUAGCUAGUGAAAUCUGGUGGCUCAACCAUUCAGACUAUUAGCUAAACUGUUAAGCUCGAGACCGUUAGGGGUAACUGGAAUUUCUAGUGUAGGAGUGAAAUCCGUAGAUAUUAGAAGGAACACCAAUAGCGUAGGCAGGUUGCUGGGACGGUUCUGACACUAAGGCACGAAAGCGUAGGGAGCAAACGGGAUUAGAUACCCCUGUAGUC
RNAcentral lists this ribosomal RNA (467 nucleotides) under uncultured bacterium. RNAcentral describes it as "partial 16S ribosomal RNA". It matches the Rfam family "Bacterial small subunit ribosomal RNA", at positions 338 to 795 of the family's 1533-position model. The record is from RNAcentral.